RNAcentral lists this ribosomal RNA (497 nucleotides) under uncultured bacterium. RNAcentral's name for it is "partial 16S ribosomal RNA". It matches the Rfam family "Bacterial small subunit ribosomal RNA", at positions 28 to 507 of the family's 1533-position model. The record is from RNAcentral.
GAUGAACGCUGGCGGCGUGCCUAAUACAUGCAAGUCGAGCGAACAGACGAGGAGCUUGCUCCUCUGACGUUAGCGGCGGACGGGUGAGUAACACGUGGAUAACCUACCUAUAAGACUGGGAUAACUUCGGGAAACCGGAGCUAAUGCCGGAUAAUAUAUUGAACCGCAUGGUUCAAUAGUGAAAGACGGUUUUGCUGUCACUUAUAGAUGGAUACGCGCCGCAUUAGCUAGUUGGUAAGGUAACGGCUUACCAAGGCAACGAUGCGUAGCCGACCUGAGAGGGGGAUCGGCCACACUGGAACUGAGACACGGUCCAGACUCCUACGGGAGGCAGCAGUAGGGAAUCUUCCGCAAUGGGCGAAAGCUUGACGGAGCAACGCCGCGUGAGUGAUGAAGGUCUUCGGAUCGUAAAACUCUGUUAUUAGGGAAGAACAAAUGUGUAAGUAACUAUGCACGUCUUGACGGUACCUAAUCAGAAAGCCACGGCUAACUACGUG